This 225-nucleotide ribosomal RNA is filed under the name Staphylococcus epidermidis. RNAcentral's name for it is "partial 16S ribosomal RNA". It matches the Rfam family "Bacterial small subunit ribosomal RNA", at positions 1126 to 1350 of the family's 1533-position model. The record is from RNAcentral. Lineage: Bacteria; Bacillati; Bacillota; Bacilli; Caryophanales; Staphylococcaceae.
UUAAGUUGGGCACUCUAAGUUGACUGCCGGUGACAAACCGGAGGAAGGUGGGGAUGACGUCAAAUCAUCAUGCCCCUUAUGAUUUGGGCUACACACGUGCUACAAUGGACAAUACAAAGGGCAGCGAAACCGCGAGGUCAAGCAAAUCCCAUAAAGUUGUUCUCAGUUCGGAUUGUAGUCUGCAACUCGACUAUAUGAAGCUGGAAUCGCUAGUAAUCGUAGAUC